This 123-nucleotide ribosomal RNA is filed under the name Pogona vitticeps (central bearded dragon). The record is from RNAcentral. Lineage: Eukaryota; Metazoa; Chordata; Lepidosauria; Squamata; Agamidae.
UUCUACCGCUUCAUCUGUAUUUAAUGAAAAGAUGAUCACAUCUGAUUUCAGAAGCUAAGCAGGGUUGGGCCUUGUUAGUAAUUAAAUGGGAGAUCACCAGGCAUUUCCAAGUAAAGGCAGGGA